AUGGAGGAGGGACCCUGGGCUUUCAAAGGUAAAGCGGUGGUGUUAGCACAUUAUGAUGGCUUCACUAAGCCGUCCACGAUAGAGCUUAACAAAAUAUAUAUAUGGAUCCAGAUCCAUGAUUUUCCAGAAGGCUAUUUCCCCAAGAUCAAGGCUCUGUCGUCGACAGUCGGCGAGUUCAUCUAUGCCGAGCCAAAAUCACAGGAUUUUGAAGGCAAUUUUGUUCGUGUCAGGGUAAGGAUUGAUGUUACCAAACCGCUGAAAAAUGUUGUAUCGUUAGUGAUCAAAAAGAAGGAUAUUGUUCAGCGAGUAAUUUUCAGAGUGAAGUAUGAGCGGCUCCCUGAUUGGUGUGCAGUCUGUGGAUAUUUAGGGCAUCUUUUCAAGGAGUGUGGGGACGGAGUUCACUCUCCCAAAGCACUAGUUUUCAAAGAUCUAAGGGCGACAUGGUUCAGGGGUCCAGGAAGAGGCCCGGGGGAAGAAACCCUCGAUUCAGCCACUCUGGAAACGAUCGCGUGUCGCGAGGCACUGGCGCUGGCGGAGGACCUCAAUAUCAGAGAUUUUGUUAUUGCUUCAGAUUGCCGACAGGUGAUUCAGGACAUCAACACGGGUCUGCAUAUAGUUGCUGGAGCUAGCACUUCGGUACUACUCGGCGCCGACACUCUAUGCCCGAUUCUCACACGACACAUGAUCCAGCGGCUGUGCUACACUUGGUCUUGCCAUAAUGAUUGCUUUGGACAAACUGACUGCUUUCGAUGA
RNAcentral lists this ribosomal RNA (753 nucleotides) under Triticum aestivum (bread wheat). RNAcentral's name for it is "partial small subunit ribosomal RNA". Lineage: Eukaryota; Viridiplantae; Streptophyta; Magnoliopsida; Poales; Poaceae. The record is from RNAcentral.